CAGUAUUUGACAGAAAGUACAAUGAUCCAGCUGCUGUCUGAUCCAAGGAGAUUAACUUUCUGCUAGGAAGAGAGGAUUCAAGCCUAUUCAUCACAGUGGCUGAAGCAGUAUCUUAUUGUAAAUUGUGGAAGUGAGGAAAUCAGCUUUGAAUCAAGAGUGUCUGACUACAUUCAAAAAAGAAGGCCAUUCCAUUGAUCCAGUCUGCAUGACCGGAUUCUUUCAGAGAGUCAUUAAAAAGACAAUCUUUUAUAAAAGCUAAAAAUUUUGGAAGAUGAUAACCUAUCUACCAAGGUAAAGAUAAAACUCAGAAAGUGGUUUUCAAGCCUGAGGUGAAGAGAACAGUCUUUGAGUGGACCUACAGCAUCUCUGAGGAUAAGGCAUUAAUGGCAUCUGUGCAACAGGCAUCCACAUCACUGGAGAGGACUACUGACAUGGCAUCACCCUGGACUCCAGACAGGGGGUCAAAACCUUUCAUGCAAGAUCUCAAUGCAAAUAAUUGUUUUCUGGAAAUACAAAACAUGAACCUCCUUCAGAAAUCCCUUCCUUUCCUCUGGAUUUUCCUGUCAUUUCCUUUGUGGAAAAGGAGGCAUCUUGGUCUUCUCAAAAGAAGAGUCCAGAUACUUGGGUUCAAGUCUCAGCGUUGUCACUUAUUAGCGAUAUGAUCGUGAGCAAGUCAGUUCACUUCCCUGGGUUUCACCUUCCUUUACCUCUAUGAUGGGGGGCGGGGUUUGAACUCAGUGAUCUGUAACAUUCCAAAUCUAACAUUAUAUGAGUCUGUGUUUUCAUUCGCUGCUUUUGAGGGCAAAGAGUUAGAAUAGACAUUGCCAGGGUAAAGCAACCAAAUACUUAGGGGAGGGGAAAGGGUUAGUAUGCAUAUCUAUCUUCGAUUAUCACUCCACCCUCAGUUUUUAAGCAAGCAGUCAGAAUGUUCCCUUACUUAAACAGUAAGAAUAGGCAACAUGCAUUUAGUCAUGAAGAAAUUAGAAAUAGGAUUCUUUGUUUUCAAGAGGUUAAAAAGAGAAUGGAGAGUUGGUACAAGAGCUAAGAAUGGGUGUAUGCAUGGAAGGGGAAAGAAUGAAUUCUGUGUUGGAACUCUGUGACUGUGGGGCUGUCACCCCAACACAGAUAAAAAUCUGAGAGCCUCUGUGAAUGUGUGUGUGAUUAAGGAAGAAAAAUGUGGUUCAGAUUCACUUCUACAAUAAGAGACACUCCUAGAGAGAGAAGUGAAGGUAGCUUUAAUUAAGAUUAUAAUGUAGGUAUAGAAAAGCUAGAUUUAUAGCAAUAUACAAUUAGCAAUAUGACUAUAGUCAGGCUAAGAAUACAAAGGAUAGCAAUAAUAUAAGAAAACAUCACCAAUUCGGGGAAGCACCAACACCUGAAGGCCAAGCUGGGUGUUCCCAGGGUACAGCUCUCAGGGUCCUUAUUGGGAAGGUCCCAGGCAGAGCAUCCUCUCCAUGAGUGAGAAUCCAAAGAUGGCUUUCUCAAUUAGGAUUUAAAUAGGGCCUCUAACAAACAAGGCCCUGUGCCAGAGGUGUCUGUGAUUCUAGUAGAUGUUUUCACUUGGUCCAGGAACUGGCCAAGUUCUUGGAGCAAGCAAAACAUCUUAGAAUAUUAAUUAACUUGAUAUGUUCUGAUGAACUGGCCAGGUUCCCAGAGCACAUCUUUUCCUGAGAACUGUCUAAAUUCUCAGGUCAACAUAAAUAACCACACUGUGGCUUAUAGCCCAAUGUUUAGAGUCAUACAGGGGACGUGGAAGAUAUUUCCUUGUAAGAUUUAUCAAUCAGUGUGAAGGCAGCCAAGCCGGGGGGAUUAGAGGUGCCUCAGAGUCUGAUAAUGAGAAUCUUUUCAGUAUGCGGUGGUCUAGAGAGAUUUUCCUACUGGGAAAUGAAAUGUUCUCUCCAUCACAAUAAGUAUGAAAGUGUUGCACACAAAGUGUUAGGAGUGAGUGGAAAGACCAGCAAGUUAUAAGGUGCUAAUAAAUCUGUGUAUGAAUGGGUCUGUGAAGACUAG
Molecule: long non-coding RNA, 2010 nt
Filed under: Phascolarctos cinereus (koala)
Lineage: Eukaryota; Metazoa; Chordata; Mammalia; Diprotodontia; Phascolarctidae
Description: lncRNA (ENSPCIG00000034393.1)
Source: RNAcentral